UUAAGCGACUAAGCGUACACGGUGGAUGCCCUGGCAGUCAGAGGCGAUGAAGGACGUGCUAAUCUGCGAUAAGCGUCGGUAAGGUGAUAUGAACCGUUAUAACCGGCGAUUUCCGAAUGGGGAAACCCAGUGUGUUUCGACACACUAUCAUUAACUGAAUCCAUAGGUUAAUGAGGCGAACCGGGGGAACUGAAACAUCUAAGUACCCCGAGGAAAAGAAAUCAACCGAGAUUCCCCCAGUAGCGGCGAGCGAACGGGGAGCAGCCCAGAGCCUGAAUCAGUAUGUGUGUUAGUGGAAGCGUCUGGAAAGGCGCGCGAUACAGGGUGACAGCCCCGUACACAAAAAUGCACAUAUUGUGAGCUCGAUGAGUAGGGCGGGACACGUGGUAUCCUGUCUGAAUAUGGGGGGACCAUCCUCCAAGGCUAAAUACUCCUGACUGACCGAUAGUGAACCAGUACCGUGAGGGAAAGGCGAAAAGAACCCCGGCGAGGGGAGUGAAAAAGAACCUGAAACCGUGUACGUACAAGCAGUGGGAGCACGCUUAGGCGUGUGACUGCGUACCUUUUGUAUAAUGGGUCAGCGACUUAUAUUCUGUAGCAAGGUUAACCGAAUAGGGGAGCCGAAGGGAAACCGAGUCUUAACUGGGCGUUAAGUUGCAGGGUAUAGACCCGAAACCCGGUGAUCUAGCCAUGGGCAGGUUGAAGGUUGGGUAACACUAACUGGAGGACCGAACCGACUAAUGUUGAAAAAUUAGCGGAUGACUUGUGGCUGGGGGUGAAAGGCCAAUCAAACCGGGAGAUAGCUGGUUCUCCCCGAAAGCUAUUUAGGUAGCGCCUCGUGAAUUCAUCUCCGGGGGUAGAGCACUGUUUCGGCAAGGGGGUCAUCCCGACUUACCAACCCGAUGCAAACUGCGAAUACCGGAGAAUGUUAUCACGGGAGACACACGGCGGGUGCUAACGUCCGUCGUGAAGAGGGAAACAACCCAGACCGCCAGCUAAGGUCCCAAAGUCAUGGUUAAGUGGGAAACGAUGUGGGAAGGCCCAGACAGCCAGGAUGUUGGCUUAGAAGCAGCCAUCAUUUAAAGAAAGCGUAAUAGCUCACUGGUCGAGUCGGCCUGCGCGGAAGAUGUAACGGGGCUAAACCAUGCACCGAAGCUGCGGCAGCGACGCUGAUGCGUUGUUGGGUAGGGGAGCGUUCUGUAAGCCUGCGAAGGUGUGCUGUGAGGCAUGCUGGAGGUAUCAGAAGUGCGAAUGCUGACAUAAGUAACGAUAAAGCGGGUGAAAAGCCCGCUCGCCGGAAGACCAAGGGUUCCUGUCCAACGUUAAUCGGGGCAGGGUGAGUCGACCCCUAAGGCGAGGCCGAAAGGCGUAGUCGAUGGGAAACAGGUUAAUAUUCCUGUACUUGGUGUUACUGCGAAGGGGGGACGGAGAAGGCUAUGUUGGCCGGGCGACGGUUGUCCCGGUUUAAGCGUGUAGGCUGGUUUUCCAGGCAAAUCCGGAAAAUCAAGGCUGAGGCGUGAUGACGAGGCACUACGGUGCUGAAGCAACAAAUGCCCUGCUUCCAGGAAAAGCCUCUAAGCAUCAGGUAACAUCAAAUCGUACCCCAAACCGACACAGGUGGUCAGGUAGAGAAUACCAAGGCGCUUGAGAGAACUCGGGUGAAGGAACUAGGCAAAAUGGUGCCGUAACUUCGGGAGAAGGCACGCUGAUAUGUAGGUGAAGCGACUUGCUCGUGGAGCUGAAAUCAGUCGAAGAUACCAGCUGGCUGCAACUGUUUAUUAAAAACACAGCACUGUGCAAACACGAAAGUGGACGUAUACGGUGUGACGCCUGCCCGGUGCCGGAAGGUUAAUUGAUGGGGUCAGCGCAAGCGAAGCUCUUGAUCGAAGCCCCGGUAAACGGCGGCCGUAACUAUAACGGUCCUAAGGUAGCGAAAUUCCUUGUCGGGUAAGUUCCGACCUGCACGAAUGGCGUAAUGAUGGCCAGGCUGUCUCCACCCGAGACUCAGUGAAAUUGAACUCGCUGUGAAGAUGCAGUGUACCCGCGGCAAGACGGAAAGACCCCGUGAACCUUUACUAUAGCUUGACACUGAACAUUGAGCCUUGAUGUGUAGGAUAGGUGGGAGGCUUGGAAGUGUGGACGCCAGUCUGCAUGGAGCCGACCUUGAAAUACCACCCUUUAAUGUUUGAUGUUCUAACGUGGACCCGUAAUCCGGGUUGCGGACAGUGUCUGGUGGAUAGUUUGACUGGGGCGGUCUCCUCCUAAAGAGUAACGGAGGAGCACGAAGGUUGGCUAAUCCUGGUCGGACAUCAGGAGGUUAGUGCAAUGGCAUAAGCCAGCUUGACUGCGAGCGUGACGGCGCGAGCAGGUGCGAAAGCAGGUCAUAGUGAUCCGGUGGUUCUGAAUGGAAGGGCCAUCGCUCAACGGAUAAAAGGUACUCCGGGGAUAACAGGCUGAUACCGCCCAAGAGUUCAUAUCGACGGCGGUGUUUGGCACCUCGAUGUCGGCUCAUCACAUCCUGGGGCUGAAGUAGGUCCCAAGGGUAUGGCUGUUCGCCAUUUAAAGUGGUACGCGAGCUGGGUUUAGAACGUCGUGAGACAGUUCGGUCCCUAUCUGCCGUGGGCGCUGGAGAACUGAGGGGGGCUGCUCCUAGUACGAGAGGACCGGAGUGGACGCAUCACUGGUGUUCGGGUUGUCAUGCCAAUGGCACUGCCCGGUAGCUAAAUGCGGAAGAGAUAAGUGCUGAAAGCAUCUAAGCACGAAACUUGCCCCGAGAUGAGUUCUCCCUGACUCCUUGAGAGUCCUGAAGGAACGUUGAAGACGACGACGUUGAUAGGCCGGGUGUGUAAGCGCAGCGAUGCGUUGAGCUAACCGGUACUAAUGAACCGUGAGGCUUAACCUU
This 2902-nucleotide ribosomal RNA is filed under the name Escherichia coli. RNAcentral describes it as "bacterial LSU rRNA". It matches the Rfam family "Bacterial large subunit ribosomal RNA". The record is from RNAcentral. Lineage: Bacteria; Pseudomonadati; Pseudomonadota; Gammaproteobacteria; Enterobacterales; Enterobacteriaceae.